This 426-nucleotide ribosomal RNA is filed under the name uncultured bacterium. Its description in RNAcentral is "partial 16S ribosomal RNA". It matches the Rfam family "Bacterial small subunit ribosomal RNA", at positions 354 to 796 of the family's 1533-position model. The record is from RNAcentral.
GUGGGGAAUAUUGCGCAAUGGGGGAAACCCUGACGCAGCAACGCCGCGUGAGUGAUGAAGGCUUUCGAGUCGUAAAACUCUGUCUUUGGGGACGAAUAAUGACGGUACCCAAGGAGGAAGCCCCGGCUAACUACGUGCCAGCAGCCGCGGUAAUACGUAUGGGGCAAGCGUUGUCCGGAAUCACUGGGAGUAAAGGGCGCGUAGGCGGUUUGUUAAGUCAGGUGUGAAAGUGUUCAGCUUAACUUGAAAAGUGCACUUGAAACUAACCUAAUUGAGUACUGGAGAGGUAAGCGGAAUUCCUAGGGUAGCGGUGAAAUGCGUAGAUAUUAGGAAGAACACCGGUGGCGAAGGCGGCUUACUGGACAGAGACUGACGCUGAGGCGCGAAAGCGUGGGGAGCGAACAGGAUUAGAAACCCCAGUAGUCC